This 451-nucleotide unclassified non-coding RNA is filed under the name uncultured fungus. RNAcentral's name for it is "partial contains small subunit ribosomal RNA, internal transcribed spacer 1, and 5.8S ribosomal RNA". The stretch from base 1 to 73 matches the Rfam family "Eukaryotic small subunit ribosomal RNA", at positions 1759 to 1831 of the family's 1831-position model. The record is from RNAcentral. Lineage: Eukaryota; Fungi.
GCAAACUUGGUCAUUUAGAGGAAGUAAAAGUCGUAACAAGGUAACCGUAGGUGAACCUGCGGUUGGAUCAUUAAAAAGCGCCUCUAGCAGGCGAAAAGAUACCAAACCAGCCGGCCAAGCUAAGCAUUGAACAUUGAGUGAGAAGGGAGCUGACAAAUAUCUAUAUAUCUGUCAGCUCUCUUUUCAUUCAAUAGUCAAUGUGAUGCUUUGCUUCCAAGGCCAAGGAGGAGACUUGUAUCAAGUCAAAACCUUUUGUGAACUGUUCUCGUCUCUGGCGGGUGGGCAGAGUUUUAUCUGCUUGUCAGCAUUGCCAAAAGCAGUGCCGUGGACAGCCCGUCAAACACUUGUGAAACAUUUGUUUUAUUUUGAUGCCUGACAUUUACUUGUAUGAAUAUACAAAACAACUUUUGGCAACGGAUCUCUUGGCUCUCGCAUCGAUGAAGAACGCAGC